ACGUCUCAGUUCGGAUUGUAGUCUGCAACCCGACUACAUGAAGCUGGAAUCGCUAGUAAUCGCGGAUCAGAAUGCCGCGGUGAAUACGUUCCCGGGUCUUGUACACACCGCCCGUCAAGCCAUGGAAGCCGGGAGUGCCUGAAGUACGCGACCGCAAGGAGCGUCCUAAGGUAAAACCGGUGACUGGGGCUAAGUCGUAACAAGGUAAC
This 209-nucleotide ribosomal RNA is filed under the name uncultured bacterium. Its description in RNAcentral is "partial 16S ribosomal RNA". It matches the Rfam family "Bacterial small subunit ribosomal RNA", at positions 1283 to 1500 of the family's 1533-position model. The record is from RNAcentral.